AAAUUGAAGAGUUUGAUCAUGGCUCAGAUUGAACGCUGGCGGCAGGCCUAACACAUGCAAGUCGAACGGUAACAGGAAGCAGCUUGCUGUUUCGCUGACGAGUGGCGGACGGGUGAGUAAUGUCUGGGAAACUGCCUGAUGGAGGGGGAUAACUACUGGAAACGGUAGCUAAUACCGCAUAACGUCGCAAGACCAAAGAGGGGGACCUUCGGGCCUCUUGCCAUCGGAUGUGCCCAGAUGGGAUUAGCUAGUAGGUGGGGUAACGGCUCACCUAGGCGACGAUCCCUAGCUGGUCUGAGAGGAUGACCAGCCACACUGGAACUGAGACACGGUCCAGACUCCUACGGGAGGCAGCAGUGGGGAAUAUUGCACAAUGGGCGCAAGCCUGAUGCAGCCAUGCCGCGUGUAUGAAGAAGGCCUUCGGGUUGUAAAGUACUUUCAGCGGGGAGGAAGGGAGUAAAGUUAAUACCUUUGCUCAUUGACGUUACCCGCAGAAGAAGCACCGGCUAACUCCGUGCCAGCAGCCGCGGUAAUACGGAGGGUGCAAGCGUUAAUCGGAAUUACUGGGCGUAAAGCGCACGCAGGCGGUUUGUUAAGUCAGAUGUGAAAUCCCCGGGCUCAACACUGGGAACUGCAUCUGAUACUGGCAAGCUUGAGUCUCGUAGAGGGGGGUAGAAUUCCAGGUGUAGCGGUGAAAUGCGUAGAGAUCUGGAGGAAUACCGGUGGCGAAGGCGGCCCCCUGGACGAAGACUGACGCUCAGGUGCGAAAGCGUGGGGAGCAAACAGGAUUAGAUACCCUGGUAGUCCACGCCGUAAACGAUGUCGACUUGGAGGUUGUGCCCUUGAGGCGUGGCUUCCGGAGCUAACGCGUUAAGUCGACCGCCUGGGGAGUACGGCCGCAAGGUUAAAACUCAAAUGAAUUGACGGGGGCCCGCACAAGCGGUGGAGCAUGUGGUUUAAUUCGAUGCAACGCGAAGAACCUUACCUGGUCUUGACAUCCACGGAAGUUUUCAGAGAUGAGAAUGUGCCUUCGGGAACCGUGAGACAGGUGCUGCAUGGCUGUCGUCAGCUCGUGUUGUGAAAUGUUGGGUUAAGUCCCGCAACGAGCGCAACCCUUAUCCUUUGUUGCCAGCGGUCCGGCCGGGAACUCAAAGGAGACUGCCAGUGAUAAACUGGAGGAAGGUGAGGAUGACGUCAAGUCAUCAUGGCCCUCACGACCAGGGCUACACACGUGCUACAAUGGCGCAUACAAAGAGAAGCGACCUCGCGAGAGCAAGCGGACCUCAUAAAGUGCGUCGUAGUCCGGAUUGGAGUCUGCAACUCGACUCCAUGAAGUCGGAAUCGCUAGUAAUCGUGGAUCAGAAUGCCACGGUGAAUACGUUCCCGGGCCUUGUACACACCGCCCGUCACACCAUGGGAGUGGGUUGCAAAAGAAGUAGGUAGCUUAACCUUCGGGAGGGCGCUUACCACUUUGUGAUUCAUGACUGGGGUGAAGUCGUAACAAGGUAACCGUAGGGGAACCUGCGGUUGGAUCACCUCCUUA
Molecule: ribosomal RNA, 1543 nt
Filed under: Escherichia coli
Lineage: Bacteria; Pseudomonadati; Pseudomonadota; Gammaproteobacteria; Enterobacterales; Enterobacteriaceae
Description: bacterial SSU rRNA
Rfam family: Bacterial small subunit ribosomal RNA
Source: RNAcentral